GACGAACGCUGGCGGCGUGCUUAACACAUGCAAGUCGAACGGAAAGGCCCUGCUUUUGUGGGGUGCUCGAGUGGCGAACGGGUGAGUAACACGUGAGUAACCUGCCCUUGACUUUGGGAUAACUUCAGGAAACUGGGGCUAAUACCGGAUAGGAGCUCCUGCUGCAUGGUGGGGGUUGGAAAGUUUCGGCGGUUGGGGAUGGACUCGCGGCUUAUCAGCUUGUUGGUGGGGUAGUGGCUUACCAAGGCUUUGACGGGUAGCCGGCCUGAGAGGGUGACCGGCCACAUUGGGACUGAGAGAGGGACCAGACUCCUACGGGAGGCAGCAGUGGGGAAUAUUGCACAAUGGGGGGAAGCCUGAGGCAGCAACGCCGGGUGCGGGAUGACGGCCUUCGGGUUGUAAACCGCUUUCGCCUGUGACGAAGCGUGAGUGACGGUAAUGGGUAAAGAAGCACCGGCUAACUACGUG
Molecule: ribosomal RNA, 468 nt
Filed under: uncultured bacterium
Lineage: Bacteria
Description: partial 16S ribosomal RNA
Rfam family: Bacterial small subunit ribosomal RNA
Source: RNAcentral